GGCGCGUGCGUGCGGGGCGGGCGGCGCUGGGCGCGUGUGUGGCGUGUGUGUGCGGGUGAGUGCGUGUGUGGCGUGUGUGUUGUGUUUUCUUUUUUUUUGAGUGAAAUGCAGAUUCGCCAAGUGCCAGAUCGGCGGCACUUGGCGAAAAAGUCUUCGCCAAGUGCCAGAUCGUCGGCACUCGGCGAAUGGAGCGCGUGGGGCCGGCGUUCAUUUUAAACGAACGAAAACUUCGCCAAGUGCCACGUGGCUGGCACUUGGCGAAGAGGGUGUCUAUGGCGGCCUUUUGCAUGGAAGCCCUCUUCGCCAAGUGCCACGUUGCUGGCACUUGGCGAAGACCUCUUCGCCAAGUGCCAACCCUAGCACUUGGCGAAGUCAAAAAAUUUUUUUUGAGUUUUGCUCCCAAAUUUUUUGUGGAGGUUUAGUACCAUAUAUUUAGUAACUUGUCAACGUUUGGUGCAUUUUGAAGUUUUUUUUCUAUAUUUUUUCAUUUAGUUGCGACUCGUUGCAUUUUUUCCGACGAAUUCGAUUUGAACUGUAGGUGCAUGCAAUAAUAGUGUCCUAUGGUUACAACAUUGUUAUUCUUGCUUGUGUGGGUGGAAUUAGGUCAAAUCCAAGUCCUGGCACCAAAUCUCGAUGAGCGUGCUAGCGGGGCAACGCUUCCGAACGUCCGACGUGCAAACUUGCUCCAAACUUUUUCAAAUUUUUACCAUAGUCUUCCCAUACCAUAUCAAGGCAUGUGGAGAAGUUUCGUGGAUUUCAGAGUUCAUUUGAUUUUUUUUAUAAUUAAAAAACCCCGCGCACGCAAGUUGGAAGCGUUGCCCCGCUAGCAUGCUCAUCGAGAUUUGGUGCCAGGAAUUGGAUUUGACCUAAUUCCACCCACACAAGCAAGAAUAGCAAUGUUGUAACCAUAGGACACUAUUAUUGCAUGCAUUUACAGUUCAAAUCGAAUUCGUCGAAAAAAAUGCAACGAGUCGCAACUAAAUGAAAAAAUAUAGAAAAAAAACUUCAAAAUGCACCAAACGUUGACAAGUUACUAAAUAUAUGGUACUAAACCUCCACAAAAAAUUUGGGAGCAAAACUCAAAAACAAAAGUUUUUGACUUCGCC
Molecule: long non-coding RNA, 1106 nt
Filed under: Sorghum bicolor (sorghum)
Lineage: Eukaryota; Viridiplantae; Streptophyta; Magnoliopsida; Poales; Poaceae
Description: long non-coding RNA (SBIC_LNC004016)
Source: RNAcentral